NNCGUCUCCCACGUGGCUUCACCACCCCCUCUCACGCAAAGACCCCUGGGCAGUGCACCUCCUCCCCUCCCCCUCAGAGGGCCACACCAAAAAAAGGCAGUUUGCAGUAACCGGGGAAUUAACUCUUUAACUGCCCGUACCUUACAUGAUGUAAUGAUGUGGAAUACCGACAACAAAAAAUCACUUCUCUGCCGCUUUAGCCGCCGGACCGCCCGGGGGCUGGCUCUUAUCGCCGGCAAUUUUUUUUUCUUUCCUUCCUCUUUUCUCGUUUCUUUUUUUCUUUUGGGCCUGUCCCCCCUUGUCACGGACGCAGACCCUUAGACAAUACCGUGACAAAUACUGGUGGAGGAUGCGGGCAAUAGAUCUGCUUUCAAUUUUUGGAAUGAUGCAUAAAGGAUUAACGGUAAUCAUGUUCCUCGGAACAUACUGGUUUCUGGUUAAGGCUAUCAUGUUCUGUGUUGGAGUUGUGUGUACAUAUAACUACAUAAUGGUGCUGAUGGAGAUACCAGCCUGGUGCUUGUACCUCCCGGAUGGAGUGGCUAGUUUUACAAGCAGCACCGUGGUGAGGCUGGCUUCCAGGUUCUCCCCUCAGUUCCUUAUGCACCCUUGGAAUUUCAAUCUAGCAAUCGUGAUACUAAUUGCUUUGAAUGUUUUCCUCCUAAUAAUAAUUUACAUUAUGUGGAGGAAACUCUCCUCAAAACCAGAAAAUGCUGAGUGGCAGGGAAUAUGGAGAGGCCUAGGGAAGACCUUAGAAACAUGGGGACCCCCGGUGUUAUGUGCUUAUCGAGCUCUAUACAACACUGUUCUUGAGAGAGAGAGCUUCCCGGCUGAAAUUCGAACCAGAGGGGGAAGCCCCCAGGCUAAACCUGAGCAAGCACAGGAGGCACCAGUAUCCGUGGCAGUUGCUCCUGUGGAAAGACAGAAAGGGAAACGGGUGCCCUCGCGUCUGGAACGGAAGGAAGAAGCGGAGAAGGUAGAGGAAGAAGCGGAGAGGGUAGAGGAAGAUCCAGGCGAGGGGCCCUCCCCGAACGCAUCGUUAUCAACAAAGGCAACCGAAGAAAACAAGAGACAUGGAGAGGAUAAGGAGGAGGAAGGCGUCACUGUUACAACUGUCCGCCGACCUCUGAAAAUGA
This 1133-nucleotide long non-coding RNA is filed under the name Numida meleagris (helmeted guineafowl). Its description in RNAcentral is "lncRNA (ENSNMEG00000017361.1)". Lineage: Eukaryota; Metazoa; Chordata; Aves; Galliformes; Numididae. The record is from RNAcentral.